UGGGGAAUAUUGGACAAUGGGCGAAAGCCUGAUCCAGCCAUGCCGCGUGAGUGAUGAAGGCCCUAGGGUUGUAAAGCUCUUUCGGCGGGGACGAUAAUGACGGUACCCGCAGAAGAAGCCCCGGCUAACUUCGUGCCAGCAGCCGCGGUAAUACGAAGGGGGCUAGCGUUGCUCGGAAUCACUGGGCGUAAAGGGCGCGUAGGCGGAUCUUUAAGUCGGGGGUGAAAGCCUGAGGCUCAACCUCAGAAUUGCCUUCGAUACUGGAGAUCUUGAGACCGGAAGAGGUGAGUGGAACUGCGAGUGUAGAGGUGAAAUUCGUAGAUAUUCGCAAGAACACCAGUGGCGAAGGCGGCUCACUGGUCCGGUUCUGACGCUGAGGCGCGAAAGCGUGGGGAGCAAACAG
RNAcentral lists this ribosomal RNA (403 nucleotides) under uncultured bacterium. RNAcentral describes it as "bacterial SSU rRNA". It matches the Rfam family "Bacterial small subunit ribosomal RNA", at positions 355 to 775 of the family's 1533-position model. The record is from RNAcentral.